Cyanistes caeruleus (blue tit) is the source of this 1879-nucleotide long non-coding RNA. Lineage: Eukaryota; Metazoa; Chordata; Aves; Passeriformes; Paridae. The record is from Ensembl.
GGAUAGAAAAUGAAUCCCCCUAAAAGAUGAAAUUGUACCCUAGAGAGGAGAUCAAUGUCCUGGAGGCAGCUAUCUCUCCAGGCUGGACUACACAAACCCAGGACAGCAGAGAGUAGACCACCAUAUUUUCUCUAUUUCUGUGGAAACCACACUACCAUAUUUCAAUCAAUAGACCACUAUAUAAAAGUAUCAAGGAGAGAUAUGGAAGGAGCAGCAAGUUUUAACUAAACAAGGAUAUUGGUAGUAAGUACAGAUAUUUAAUUCCCAGGUUUUCAGUCCAUUUUUCUUUUUAUUUUUUUUAUUUCGUCUGGAAAAGAAAAAAUAAGAAAAAGAGCAAAAGAAAAGACAGAAAGAAAGAAGGUUUUGUUAAAUUGUUGUUUUGGGUUCUUUUAGUGCAAUAUUUAAACAAAAAUAUCAAAAAUACAUUUAAUCUAUUUGCCAGCUCUUUCUUUCUGUGUGAAAUGCAGAAACUCUUUGGGGGGUUAUUGCUGUCAUCCAGACAGCAAUCAUUUCACAAAAUGUGACAUUACUUGUUUAGAAUUCAAUUAUGUUUUCUUUCAUGUCAAACAACAUUAAAUGAUCAUUUGAAUUUUGGUCCUUUGACAUCAGUAAUUGUUACAAUUCAUGGCAGAUGACUCCUCAGAUGUCAGAAGUUUGGGCCAAUCGAGAAAAAUCCUUUUAUUUUUCAUGUAGAUAACAACUGACAAUCAACAUGAUUCAGAAAUGCUUAUUACAGUGGAAAUAGUUUUUAUUUAUUUGAUUUCUGCAUAAAGUGCUAGUCAGAAGUUUGGUUGUGCAGUCAUUAAUUUUAAAAGACAGAUGUUUCCAUGACAUGUAAAUUGGUGGCUGGUUUUCCUCACUGAGGACCAUCCUGCAUGACCACCCAUAAUAAUCCUUCUUGUCUUUCUUUCUCUUUCAUUUGAUUCUUGGUCACAUCUUCGUUAUACUUCCAAAGACAAGGUCCUUCACAUUAACUGCCUCUGUCUUUCAUCAGGUUUACUUGGUGGUGUUGACAUUCUCACCCAUUGUCUAGUAUAAUUGAUGCAUAGCUGGUAGUUAGAGCUCUUUGAGAGUUGUCCAACAGGUGGUAGAAGGAAAAACAUCUUAAGGGAACCAAUGCUUUGGCCUCAUAGCUGAAUCAGGGUGCGCAAAUCUGCUUAAAAAGGAAAUGUGACUAAAUUGUUAAAUUUCCAUCUAUUGUUUGGGAAACUGUAUAGAGGUACUGGUCAAGUGUUCUUCCCUUUUAUUUUCAUUUUCCUUCUAUUCUUCCCUUCAUUUACCUAUCUGAAAUGAAAAUUACCUUAUGAUACAGAUCUUGCUGCAGUCAUGUUUGCCUACCUAAUUUCUGGAUUAAUGAUCUACGCAGGAUGGAUUUCGAUGGUUCUUAGAAAAUAUAGCUCUUCAAAUUCAGAAAGGUUAGUUAUUAGCUGCUGUAAUUUAUUAAAGGGAUUAUACUUGUGAUCUUUCAUCCACACUUAUUUAACUUAGUUUCUACAGAGUUUUUACAAGUUAAUUGGUUUUGACCCAAUUCUCCCAGAAGUGUAGAUUUUUGAAUUCACGAAAAUGAGUUAGAGAACCUGUCGCCUUUCAACAGAAAAUAGGUGUCUGUUGCUUGACCCUUUUGAAAUCUCUUCCUCAAUAAUUGAACAUGAUUUUUAAAAAGAAAUUACUCUUUCACAUGAUACAACAUUAAAGUUAUUGCCAUUUUUGGUACAUUGCUUGUUUAAUAUAAUCUCCUUUUCAGAGUUGCUUUUUCUUAGUCAUUAGCCUCCUCAGUUUUUGCAUCUUUAGGACACUUUGCAAAACCCAUAUUUUUUUUCAUAAGUAUUAAAAAAAGAAAAAAAAUAAAAAGCUGGAAGUUUUUUUUUUUUCUUUGUAU